This 69-nucleotide transfer RNA is filed under the name Ictidomys tridecemlineatus (thirteen-lined ground squirrel). RNAcentral describes it as "Spermophilus tridecemlineatus (thirteen-lined ground squirrel) tRNA". It matches the Rfam family "tRNA". From Rfam's summary of the family: Transfer RNA (tRNA) molecules are approximately 80 nucleotides in length. Their secondary structure includes four short double-helical elements and three loops (D, anti-codon, and T loops). Lineage: Eukaryota; Metazoa; Chordata; Mammalia; Rodentia; Sciuridae. The record is from Rfam by way of RNAcentral.
GGGGUUGUAGCUCAGUGGUAGAGCUCUUACCUUGCAUGCAUGAGGCCCUGGGUUCUAUCCCUAGCACCA